ACGGGAGGCAGCAGUGGGGAAUAUUGCACAAUGGGCGCAAGCCUGAUGCAGCGACGCCGCGUGAGCGAUGAAGUAUUUCGGUAUGUAAAGCUCUAUCAGCAGGGAAGAAAAUGACGGUACCUGACUAAGAAGCCCCGGCUAACUACGUGCCAGCAGCCGCGGUAAUACGUAGGGGGCAAGCGUUAUCCGGAUUUACUGGGUGUAAAGGGAGCGUAGACGGCGAUGCAAGUCUGAAGUGAAAGCCCGGGGCUCAACCCCGGGACUGCUUUGGAAACUGUGUUGCUAGAGUGCAGGAGGGGUAAGCGGAAUUCCUAGUGUAGCGGUGAAAUGCGUAGAUAUUAGGAGGAACACCGGUGGCGAAGGCGGCUUACUGGACUGUAACUGACGUUGAGGCUCGAAAGCGUGGGGAGCAAACAGGAUUAGAUACCCUGGUA
RNAcentral lists this ribosomal RNA (434 nucleotides) under uncultured Lachnospiraceae bacterium. RNAcentral's name for it is "bacterial SSU rRNA". It matches the Rfam family "Bacterial small subunit ribosomal RNA", at positions 341 to 792 of the family's 1533-position model. Lineage: Bacteria; Bacillati; Bacillota; Clostridia; Lachnospirales; Lachnospiraceae. The record is from RNAcentral.